GGCGAUUUCCGAAUGGGGAAACCCAGUGUGAUUCGUCACACUAUCAUUAACUGAAUCCAUAGGUUAAUGAGGCGAACCGGGGGAACUGAAACAUCUAAGUACCCCGAGGAAAAGAAAUCAACCGAGAUUCCCCCAGUAGCGGCGAGCGAACGGGGAGGAGCCCAGAGCCUGAAUCAGCAUGUGUGUUAGUGGAAGCGUCUGGAAAGGCGCGCGAUACAGGGUGACAGCCCCGUACACAAAAGCGCAUGUGCUGUGAGCUCGAUGAGUAGGGCGGGACACGUGGUAUCCUGUCUGAAUAUGGGGGGACCAUCCUCCAAGGCUAAAUACUCCUGACUGACCGAUAGUGAACCAGUACCGUGAGGGAAAGGCGAAAAGAACCCCGGCGAGGGGAGUGAAAAAGAACCUGAAACCGUGUACGUACAAGCAGUGGGAGCACAGGUUUACCUGUGUGACUGCGUACCUUUUGUAUAAUGGGUCAGCGACUUAUAUU
This 490-nucleotide ribosomal RNA is filed under the name Salmonella enterica subsp. enterica serovar Newport. Its description in RNAcentral is "partial 23S ribosomal RNA". It matches the Rfam family "Bacterial large subunit ribosomal RNA", at positions 106 to 634 of the family's 2925-position model. Lineage: Bacteria; Pseudomonadati; Pseudomonadota; Gammaproteobacteria; Enterobacterales; Enterobacteriaceae. The record is from RNAcentral.